AUUUCCGUCGGGUCCUUUAAGACGUCACAUCCAGGUUAAAAAAAACCAGAGAGAAAAGAUAAGGUUGGAGGAAGUCUCACUAAACUGUUCGAGCGUCCAUAUUGAACCCGGAAAUGUUUUCGAGUUAGGAACUUUCUUCGGCGAACGGCUUCGCAGACCUAAUCAAUGAUGGCCGCGGCACGUUGGCGGGUGUACGUCGUGCGUCCCCUCCUUAGAUGGGCGGGGCGGAAGGUCUGGCUGCUGACGGACUAUGGAGACACCCUGGGGGCGGGGCUACGGCGUUUGGCGCGAAAUUUCCUUUUCUCCACCUUCUUUCCAUUCCUAGUGAGGCUUCCGUUUCGGCGUUUGUGCGCGCCUGGCAGCUGUAAGAAGAGUCCCCCUGGGGCAGGUAGAUUUGCUGCAGUUCCACGAGCUCCUGAAGCGGGGACGCUGGAAGGAGGCUUGCGCCCAUCUCCAACAAGCUUUGGCGCCCGCUUUCUGCCUCUGCCGGGGAUUGCGAUCUUGCAGUGGGAAACCGGAAGCCAACAGCGGAGAAGCGUGAACACUCCUGUCCUCAGCUCCUUGAGACUAUCAAUAUUGACCUGAGUCAUAUGAACCUUAUAUCCACAUGGCCCGUGGGAAGCAAUCGCAUCCUUCUUCCUUUCAGGGUAGUGUAACAAGCACCACAGGGAAGCGGAGCAGCAGAGUUAUUACUCGAUAUGGAUGUCGCUAUUGCUCCCAGAGGGAAAAAGGGGCUAGUCUUAAGUCCCUUUUCGUGACUAAAGGGCCUGAGCUCCUACUCAUAUCUUUUCCCCUAAACGAGCUGCUCUUAACUGCAGUGGCACCUCUUUUACUUUCUCUAGUCUAACCCCGAAAUAGAAGGGCCUUCUCUUCUGGCAAAUUGGAAAAAGCACUGGACUUAGAGAAAUGAGAUGCAAGCUUCUUAUCUUGGGCUAUCUGCCAAAUUGCAAUGAUUAGAUAUGGUAGUUUUCUAUUUUGGUUGUCUGUAAAAGUGGUACCCUCUUCCCUACUGUUUUGGGUACAUGUGAAUGCCACUGGAGGUUUUUGUGCGAGGUCAUGUUUAUCAAGUCCCUUUGCAACAGUUUUUAAUGUAACAGGGCAAUAUGCAACUUUAGAAGGUUUCUGAAUUCCUUGAAAUUGAACGCAGAAUUUUGUGUGAAUUGUUUCAUAACAUUCAUCAAAGUAUUAAAAAACAAAACCAAAAAAAACCCACUGUCGCUUAUAAAUAAAUGCAAGGGGUUAGGGAGUGGGGAAGGACUUUCCUGGCAGUCCAGUGGGUGAGACUUGGUGCUUCUACUGCAGGGAGCGCGGAUUCGAUCCCUGGUUGGUGAACGAAGAUCCUGCGUGCUGUGGCCAAAAAUAAAUAAAUUUUUUUUAAAAAGAGUGGGGAAAUAAAUCGACCAUUUUGCAUUUUCUCACUUCAUCCUCAGUGAUCGUAGAAUAAUGCCCCCAGCACAGAAUGGAUGAUUAAUAAAUAAAUAUUGGUUGAAUAAAAGAAAGCUUCUAUUAUUAUUUGCAUUUUGUGGGUAAGGAAAUUGAGACCCAUUUGACUGCUCAGUCAGCAGGUAGGAAGCCUGGCUUAUUGUAAUAAGCAUACCAGAAGCAAACUCUUGUGUGCCUGUAUUUUCAGUCGCGUGUGACUCUUGGUGACCCUAUAGAUUGUGGCCCCGCCUGGCUGCUCUGUCCUGGGAUUCUCCAAGCAAAAAUACUGGAGUGGUUUGCUAUUGCCUCCUCCCCUUAGACAUGUAUUAACAUUACCCACUUUCACACAAGGUGUUCUAAGGUGAAGCGCUUAAGAGCACAGUCAUCGGAAUCCAGCUGCUCAAGGUUUGAAUUAGGGCUGUGCCGUUCUGUGUAACAUUGGGACAACUUACUAUCUUGAAGUGCUAGAGUUUUGGUUCUACCUUUUGUCUUGGUGGAUCAAUAAAUAUAUGCUAUCGUUAUUUUUAGGGCUUCCCUGUGGCUUAGUGGUAAAGAACCCAGAGACAUGGGUUCUAUCCCUGGGUCGGGAAGAUCCCUGGAGGAGGAAAUGGCAACCUAUUCCAGUAUUCUUGCGGAGAAAAUCCCAUGAACACAGGAGCCCGGUGGGCUUGCAAACCCCGGUAGGGUUGCAAAGAGUCGGAUGUGACUGAGCACGGACAUUUUUUUUUUUUUUCUGCAACUCGUAUCUGUUUUUCUUGGGUGUGGCUCCUCGACUGGAUAGUGUGUAUGUUCAAGAUUUCUGGUAUCUUCAACAUUGAGAGCCUGUAAUGUGUGUUUCCUAGAAGCCAAAGUCUUUGCUGAGCCAAAUCUGGCCUGUCUUUCCACUCUGUUCAUCACUCCUGUUGGGAAACCUCUUUCUGAUGAUGAGAUGCAAUACUGGGUCAAGGGUAGGAAAGUGCUGCCUCUUCAGAAGGACUCCUGAUUAAUUUUUUGAACUUUUCAUGGAAAAAUAACCUACAUAUAGAAAAUUCACAUCAUAAGCAUACAGCGCAGUGAGUUGUUUUGAAGAAAACAUACCUGUGUAACCUGCAUCCUAGAAGCACCCCAUUCCCUCCCUGUGCUUCCUUUCAGUCAUUGAGGUUUCCUUUUAGUCCGACUUCUAGCAUCAUAGGUUAGUUUUACCUGCUUUUGAGCUUUGUGUAAAUGGAAUCAAUAUAGUAUGUAUUCUUCUGGUGUCUGAUUCCCUUAGCUCAUUGUUAUUUUGUAAAAUUUUCCUCAUGUGUGCAGUCGUGACUGGUUUAAUUUCACUGCUUUAUAGUGCUGCUACAACCAUUCUGGUGCGUGUCCUUUGAUGGUUUGUUUGUUUUUCUGUUGAAUAUAUUUUGUUGGAACUACUGGAUCAUAAGAUAUGCACAUGUUCCGUUUUAGUAGAUACUGUCUGUUUUCCACUUUCUAAUUUAUGCACUCUCCAUCUGUGUAUGAGAGUUCUGGCCACUCUACAUCCUUAUCACACUUGGUAUUGUCCAAAUGAUUUUAAAACCUGUUCAUUCGCUCAUUUAUUCGCUCACCUAUUAUGUGUGAAGUCUUAACCUAGGCCCUGGGGAUGCAGUUAUGAACAGACAAACAAGGUGCCAAGAUCCCUGCUCUUUUGGAAUUUAACAUUCUGAUGUAGAAAGUGCAAAAAAUAAGAAAGUAAUAUAAUGGUUAUUGCUUUGAUAAUAGAGUGGUGCAGUAGAACAUGACCCUGAAGGACAGUAUAAAGGGGUGGGGAGUAACUUUCCAUUGGGCAUCAGUGAAGGCCUAUCUGAGGAAGUUUUACUGGCACUGAGACCUGAACCAUCCCUGCAAAGAUAGGCAAGAAGAGAGAACAACAACUGUAUAAGUCUGAGGGGACUAACAACCUUCGUCUGCUUGAGAUUCAGAAAAGCAGUCCUGAAGCGUAGGGAUAGACCAAGACAAGGCAGGUUAUGUAAUCCAGGCCCAGAGAGCCUUCUGAUACUCCUGCCUUCUCAGCCUUUGGUAAAUCAUCCACCCUUGCAUACAGAUAUACUGGUCUCAGUGUAUAGAGCUCCUGAUCUAGAAAAGGAGUGUUAAAUUUUAUCUUGGUUUAGUUUUUGAACUAGGAUGCCUGCUUUAGUAAGCUAAAAUAUUGUCUGUAUUUAAAAUCAUUGAAAGCAUGGAUCUGAUGCCCUUAGAUACACGUGAAUACCUGAGGAGUAUGGAGAUAGUCCUUCUGUAUGCCAGUUUUUGGUUUGAAAAAAUGAGAUCCCUGUGCCAGUGUAACCAAAUAUCAUAGAUAAUGUGACAGGUCAG
Molecule: long non-coding RNA, 3735 nt
Organism: Bos grunniens (domestic yak)
Lineage: Eukaryota; Metazoa; Chordata; Mammalia; Artiodactyla; Bovidae
Source: Ensembl